UGGGGAAUCUUGCGCAAUGGGCGCAAGCCUGACGACGCAACGCCGCGUGGAGGAUGAAGACCUUCGGGUCGUAAACUCCUUUCGAUCGAGACGAAUGGCCUCCGGGUGAACAAUCCGGAGGAGUGACGGUACCUCUUAAGGAAGCACCGGCUAACUACGUGCCAGCAGCCGCGGUAAUACGUAGGGGGCAAGCGUUGUCCGGAUUUACUGGGUGUAAAGGGUGCUCAGGUGGAUUUGUUAGUCGGAGGUGAAACUCCGGAGCUUAACUCCGGAACUGCCUCCGAAACAGCAAGUCUUGAGUUUGGUAGAGGAUGAUGGAAUAUCUGGUGUAGCAGUGAAAUGCGUAGAUAUCAGAUAGAACACCAAUGGCGAAGGCAGUCAUCUGGGCCAUAACUGACACUAAAGCACGAAAGCGUGGGGAUCAAACAGGAUUAGAUACCCCAGUAGUCCCUGAGCGGGCUGGCAAGGCGCAU
This 473-nucleotide ribosomal RNA is filed under the name uncultured bacterium. RNAcentral's name for it is "bacterial SSU rRNA". It matches the Rfam family "Bacterial small subunit ribosomal RNA", at positions 355 to 825 of the family's 1533-position model. The record is from RNAcentral.